RNAcentral lists this ribosomal RNA (301 nucleotides) under uncultured bacterium. Its description in RNAcentral is "partial 16S ribosomal RNA". It matches the Rfam family "Bacterial small subunit ribosomal RNA", at positions 509 to 807 of the family's 1533-position model. The record is from RNAcentral.
CAGCAGCCGCGGGAAUACAGAGGUCUCAAGCGUUGUUCGGAUUCAUUGGGCGUAAAGGGUGCGUAGGUGGCGGUGUAAGUCUAACGUGAAAUCUCGGGGCUCAACCUCGAAAUUGCGUCGGAUACUGCAUUGCUAGAGGAUUGUAGAGGAGAGUGGAAUUCAUGGUGUAGCAGUGAAAUGCGUAGAUAUCAUGAGGAAGACCAGUUGCGAAGGCGACUCUCUGGGCAAUUCCUGACACUGAGGCACGAAGGCUAGGGGAGCAAACGGGAUUAGAUACCCCCGUAGUCCCUGUCUCUUAUAC